CCUACGGGUGGCAGCAGUGGGGAAUAUUGGGCAAUGGGCGCAAGUCUGACCCAGCAACGCCGCGUGAAGGAAGAAGGCCCUCGGGUUGUAAACUUCUUUUCUCAAGGACGAAACAAAUGACGGUACUUGAUGAAUAAGCCACGGCUAACUACGUGCCAGCAGCCGCGGUAAUACGUAGGUGGCAAGCGUUAUCCGGAUUUACUGGGCGUAAAGGGCGCGUAGGGGGGACUGCAAGUCAGAAGUGAAACCCAUGGGCUCAACCCCGGGCCUACUAUUAAAACUGUAGGUCUUGAGUGUAGGAGGGGCAAGCGGAAUUCCGAGUGUAGCGGUGGAAUGCGGAGAUAUUAGGAGGAACACCGGUGGCGAAGGCGGACUGCUGGACUAUAACUGACACUGAGGCACGAAAGCGUGGGGAGCAAACAGGAUUAGAUACCCUUGUAGUC
Molecule: ribosomal RNA, 443 nt
Filed under: uncultured bacterium
Lineage: Bacteria
Description: partial 16S ribosomal RNA
Rfam family: Bacterial small subunit ribosomal RNA
Source: RNAcentral